RNAcentral lists this ribosomal RNA (2267 nucleotides) under human gut metagenome. RNAcentral's name for it is "bacterial LSU rRNA". It matches the Rfam family "Bacterial large subunit ribosomal RNA", at positions 14 to 2317 of the family's 2925-position model. The record is from RNAcentral.
AGAGCGCAGGGUGGAUGCCUUGGCACUGAGAGCCGAUGAAGGACGUGAUAAGCUGCGAAAAGCUUCGGGGAGGAGCAAAUAUCCAUUGAUCCGGAGAUAUCCGAAUGGGGAAACCCACUUGAGCAAACCUCAAGUAUCCAUACGCCAAUCCAUAACGUAUGGAAGGGAACCGGGGGAACUGAAACAUCUAAGUACCCCGAGGAGAAGAAAGAAACCUCGAUUUCCAAAGUAGCGGCGAGCGAAAUGGAAAGAGCCCAAACCGUGGUGCGUGCACCGCGGGGUUGUGGACUGCAUAAGGUACUCGAAUCAAUAGCCGAACAGUUUUGGGAAAUCUGAUCAGAGAGGGUGAAAAUCCCGUAGGCGAAAUUGAUGAGAGGCUGGCAGGAUCCAGAGUACCACGAGACACGGGAAACCUUGUGGGAAGCAGGAGGGACCACCCUCCAAGGCUAAAUACUCCUCAGUGACCGAUAGCGCAUAGUACUGUGAAGGAAAGGUGAAAAGGACCCCGGGAGGGGAGUGAAAGAGAACCUGAAACCCUGUGUUUACAAGCUGUGGAAGUGCCUUAUGUGCACAACCGCGUACUUUUUGUAGAACGGUCCGGCGAGUUACGUUUACUGGCAAGGUUAAGUACUAUAGGUACGGAGCCGAAGGGAAACCAAGUCUUAAGAGGGCGUGAAGUCAGUAAGAGUAGACCCGAAACCGGGUGAUCUACCCAUGUCCAGGCUGAAGCUGCCGUAAGAGGUAGUGGAGGGCCGAACGCACAUCCGUUGAAAAGGGUGGCGAUGAGGUGUGGGUAGGGGAGAAAUUCCAAUCGAACCCGGAGAUAGCUGGUUCUCCUCGAAAUAGCUUUAGGGCUAGCCUCGAUGGAGUCUUACGGAGGUAGAGCACUGAAUUUCUAAGGGGGCGUCAAAGCUUACCAAGGGAUAUCAAACUCCGAAUGCCGUAAAGAUGCUCAUCGGGAGUCAGACUGCACGAGAUAAGUUGGGCAGUCAAAAGGGAAAGAGCCCAGACCUGCUGCUAAGGUCCCAAAGUACGUGUUAAGUGGAAAAGGAUGUGGGAUUUCGAAGACAACUAGGAUGUUGGCUCAGAAGCAGCCACACAUUCAAAGAGUGCGUAAUAGCUCACUAGUCGAGAGGUCCUGCGCCGAAAAUGUCCGGGGCUGAAACACGACACCGAAGCACAGGAUACCGCAAGGUAUGGUAGAGGAGCAUUGCUGGCGCAACGAAGCAGUACCGGAAGGAGCUGUGGAGUGCCAGGAAGAGAGAAUGCCGGAAUGAGUAGCGAGAGAGAGGUGGGAAUCCUCUCGGCCGAAUAUCCAAGGUUUCCAGGGUAAAGCUGAUCUGCCCUGGGUAAGUCGGGGCCUAAGGAGAGGCAGAAAUGCGUAUCCGAUGGACAGCAGGUUGAGAUUCCUGCACUAUCUUAAAACAGAACUGUGGGGACAUUUGUGGAGAGCACAGGCGCGGAACGGAAAGCCGCGUGCAAGCGAAGGAGGAGUCACAUAGGAAAAACCGUGUGGCAAUCCAAAGGCGUGAUGCGGACCGAACUAAAGUAGGGAAGUGUGUGAGCCAUGAAUCAAGAAAAGCCGCUAUUGUUUUUAAGAUACCCGUACCGUAAACCGACACAGGUGGAUGAGGAGAGAAUCCUAAGGCCGGCGGAAGAAGCAUUGUUAAGGAACUCGGCAAAAUGACCCCGUAACUUCGGGAGAAGGGGUGCCCAUGAAAGUGGGCCGCAGAGAAUAGGCUCAAGCAACUGUUUAGCAAAAACACAGGUCUAUGCAAAACCGAAAGGUGAGGUAUAUGGGCUGACGCCUGCCCGGUGCUGGAAGGUUAAGAGGAGAGGUUAGCGCAAGCGAAGCUUUGAAUUUAAGCCCCAGUAAACGGCGGCCGUAACUAUAACGGUCCUAAGGUAGCGAAAUUCCUUGUCGGGUAAGUUCCGACCCGCACGAAAGGCGUAAUGAUUUGAGCGCUGUCUCGACAAUGCAUCCGGUGAAAUUGAAGUACCAGUGAAGAUGCUGGUUACCCGCGCCAGGACGGAAAGACCCCAUGGAGCUUUACUCCAGUUUGGUACUGGGGUCCGGCAGUGCAUGUACAGGAUAGGUGGGAGGCUGUGAACCUGGAACGCCAGUUUCAGGGGAGCCAUUGUUGGGAUACCACCCUUGUGCUGCUGGGCUUCUAACCAGCGGCCUUUAUCAGGCCGGGGGACAAUGCCAGACGGGGAGUUUGACUGGGGCGGUCGCCUCCGAAAGGGUAUCGGAGGCGCUCAAAGGU